AGCUGUCCCUCCUGUCCCUCCUGCCAGGCUCUGCCAGCUGCUCUGGUGCCUCAGAGCUCUGAACACUGAGCACUGGGCCCUGUACUGAUCAGAGGUGGGGAAGGCUUCCUGUCCGCUUUGGACCUGAGCUGCCAGCACCUCGCCUUCCUGGAGAGAGAGACUGAGCAGCGCCCUCCCACUUCCCCCUCUUGUGUCUCCUCCGGCAGUGUUCAGGAGACGUGUGCACUUAUCAGGCUGCAGCCUAAACCCAGUCGCCACCCUGAGACCCUCAGAGGAGGAGCAACAGUGUCGGGACUCUGAGGCAGAGAGGAGGAUGACUGAGGCUCCUGCGGAGGCUGACACAGAUGCAGACAAGGAAGACACCCCCGGGGACAGUGGGCCAGGCCAUUCCCGUCCUAACAGGGAUUCCAUUCCUGAGGCUGCUUGGUAUGAGGGACUGGGGGAGCCAGAAGAUGCCACCCCCCUACUGCUGUGGGACUUUGGCCCCUUGGGGCAGUGGCUAGGGUUCACCCGGAGUAGGGACUGUCACAGAGGCUCACAAGUGUGGUUCAAGCUCCACCUUAGCGCACCCUCUGGGCCUUCCUCAAAAUCGCAUGACUCUGACACUGAGCCACCCUUGAGAAGUGGCAAGGGACAAGGGGCUUGGUGGAUGCAUCAUCUCCUUGUCUCAGGAAAGCAGCAGAUUUCUCCAGCCGACCAUGACUGGGGUCCUGGGCCCCCCCAAACCACAGAGGAGGCUGGGAAGGUGGAGAACAGGGCUGUUGGACCUGACUUUGACUGUGGCCUCCCCGAGAACACUAGUGGAACGGACCUGGAUGCCGGAAAACAUGGCCUGGACCUCACAUGGCCACGGCCAGGCAGGUGCCCAUGGAGAGGCUCUGGAUGCUGAAACACUUACGCCUGCAAAGGAUGUGUCACGGGAAGCCUUGGACAGUGACCGCUCUAUGAGACCGCUUAAGGGCCAUCUGCCUGUUACUACAUUUUGGUGGGAACAAGCAAUAAACUCUCCUGGCAUUGUCCAGCUACCUCAGGCAGCUACUUAAGGUCUCCUGUCCUUGGCAUCAUACUAGGAAUAUGGCCUAGAAGUGUUAGCAAUUCUGUGAGAAGUUUUCAUGUCUCCUAGUCCAUGGGCAAGGAGAAAGACAGCAAAAUGUUUUGGGCUGAGAGUCUUCAGUUGCUACCAGGGUCAGCCUAUAGAGGCUCAGAGGAGCCUGAAUGGUUUGUCACCUUCUGCUGUCACCAUACCUGGAGGCCCCUCCCCUUCAAGGGAUGCUGCCCUGUUCUGCUAGUCCAUCCCCAUUCCUGUCCAGCAUUGG
RNAcentral lists this long non-coding RNA (1316 nucleotides) under Heterocephalus glaber (naked mole-rat). RNAcentral describes it as "lncRNA (ENSHGLG00000034485.1)". The record is from RNAcentral. Lineage: Eukaryota; Metazoa; Chordata; Mammalia; Rodentia; Bathyergidae.